Molecule: ribosomal RNA, 349 nt
Filed under: Fistulifera sp. ANT
Lineage: Eukaryota; Bacillariophyta; Bacillariophyceae; Naviculales; Stauroneidaceae
Description: bacterial LSU rRNA
Rfam family: Bacterial large subunit ribosomal RNA
Source: RNAcentral
UGGACUUUAUUUGCGCAGUAUAGGUGGGAGGCGUUGAAAUUAUUCUUGCGGGAAUAACGGAGCCAUCAGUGAGAUACCACUCUUGUAAUGUUAGAUUUCUAACUUUGUAUCCUUAUCGGGUCAAAGAACAGUCUCAGGCGGGCAGUUUGACUGGGGCGGUCGCCUCCUAAACGGUAACGGAGGCGCACAAAGGUUUCCUCUGAACGGGUAGAAAUCGUAUCUAGAGUGUAAAGGCAUAAGGAAGCUUGACUGUGAGACCUACAAGUCGAGCAGGGACGAAAGUCGGUCUUAGUGAUCUGACGGUGCUGAGUGGAAAGGCCGUCACUCAACGGAUAAAAGUUACUCUAGG